UACGGGGGGUGCAAGCGUUGUUCGGAAUCAUUGGGCGUAAAGAGCGUGUAGGCGGCAUGAUAAGUCAGAUGUGAAAGCCCCGGGCUUAACCCGGGAAGUGCAUUUGAAACUGUUGUGCUUGAGUAAGGGAGAGGAAAGCGGAAUUCCUGGUGUAGAGGUGAAAUUCGUAGAUAUCAGGAGGAACACCGGUGGCGAAGGCGGCUUUCUGGCCCUAUACUGACGCUGAGACGCGAGAGCGUGGGGAG
Molecule: ribosomal RNA, 245 nt
Filed under: uncultured bacterium
Lineage: Bacteria
Description: partial 16S ribosomal RNA
Rfam family: Bacterial small subunit ribosomal RNA
Source: RNAcentral